AGUGAACGCUGGCGGUAGGCCUAACACAUGCAAGUCGAACGGCAGCACAGUAAGAGCUUGCUCUUACGGGUGGCGAGUGGCGGACGGGUGAGGAAAAUAUCGGAACCUACUUUUUCGUGUGGGAUAACGUAGGUAAACUUACGCUAAUACCGCAUACGACCUACGGGUGAAAGCAGGGGAUCUUCGCACCUUGCGCGAUUGAAUGCGCCGAUGUCGGAUUAGCUAGUUGGCGGGCUAAUGGCCCACCAUGGCGAGGAUCCGUAGCUGGUCUGAGAGAAUGGUCGGCCGCAUGGGAGCGGGGACAGGGUCAAGGGUACUACGGGAGGGAGCAGUGGGGAAUAGUAGGCAAUGGGGGGAAGUCUGAUCCAGCCAGACCAAGUGUGAGAAGAAGGCGUUGCGGUUGUAAAGACGUUUUGUGGGGAGUGAAAAGCAGCAGGUUGAGACCCAGCUGGUCUGACGGUAACCAAAGAAUAAGCACCGGCUAACUUCGUG
Molecule: ribosomal RNA, 492 nt
Filed under: uncultured bacterium
Lineage: Bacteria
Description: partial 16S ribosomal RNA
Rfam family: Bacterial small subunit ribosomal RNA
Source: RNAcentral